Molecule: unclassified non-coding RNA, 263 nt
Filed under: plant metagenome
Description: partial contains small subunit ribosomal RNA, internal transcribed spacer 1, and 5.8S ribosomal RNA
Source: RNAcentral
UUUCCGUAGGUGAACCUGCGGAAGGAUCAUUAUUGUAUAACCAAUGUGCUGGAGCUGUCGUUGACCCGAAUGGGCGCGCACGCCCGAUUCACCUCACACACAUGCACCUCACGCGUGUGUCCGCCCCCGCAGCGUGCCCCCUUACGCUUGUUCGGAGGGGGUCUCUCGUUUUCACUCAAUCUUAGUCUGUAUAGUAGAAUAUAUUUAUUAUUUUUACGAUACCGCUAUCAAUACAACUUUCAACAACGGAUCUCUUGGCUCUC